GGUCACGAUUUCACACUGCCAAGAAAAGCCUCUAGUGAGGGGGAAGGCGCCAGUACCGUAAACCGACACAGGUAGGCGAGAUGAGAAUUCUAAGACGCGCGGGAUAACUCUCGUUAAGGAACUCGGCAAAAUGGUCCCGUAACUUCGGGAGAAGGGACGCUCUACAUGAGUAGAGCCGCAGUGAAUAGGCCCAAACGACUGUUUAGCAAAAACACAGGUCUCUGCUAAAUCGCAAGAUGACGUAUAGGGGCUGACGCCUGCCCGGUGCUGGAAGGUUAAGGGGAUGGGUUAGCGCAAGCGAAGCUUUGAACCGAAGCCCCAGUAAACGGCGGCCGUAACUAUAACGGUCCUAAGGUAGCGAAAUUCCUUGUCGGGUAAGUUCCGACCCGCACGAAAGGCGUAACGAUUUGGGCACUGUCUCAACGAGAGACCCGGUGAAAUCAUAGUACCUGUGAAGAUGCAGGUUACCCGCGACAGGACGGAAAGACCCCAUGGAGCUUUACUACAGCCUGAUAUUGAGGCUUUGUGCAUGAUGUACAGGAUAGGCGGGAGACGUCGAGCCCGGAGCGCCAGCUUCGGAGGAGUCACCCUUGGGAUACCGCCCUUCAUGCAUAGAGUCUCUAACUCGCAGCCGUGAUCCGGCUGGAGGACCGUGUCAGGCGGGUAGUUUGACUGGGGCGGUCGCCUCCUAAACAGUAACGGAGGCGCCCAAAGGUUCCCUCAGAAUGGUUGGAAAUCAUUCGUAGAGCGCAAAGGCAGAAGGGAGCUUGACUGCGAGACCUACAAGUCGAGCAGGGACGAAAGUCGGGCUUAGUGAUCCGGUGGUUCCGCAUGGAAGGGCCAUCGCUCAACGGAUAAAAGCUACCCUGGGGAUAACAGGCUGAUCUCCCCCAAGAGUCCACAUCGACGGGGAGGUUUGGCACCUCGAUGUCGGCUCAUCGCAUCCUGGGGCUGGAGUAGGUCCCAAGGGUUGGGCUGUUCGCCCAUUAAAGCGGUACGCGAGCUGGGUUCAGAACGUCGUGAGACAGUUCGGUCCCUAUCCGUCGUGGGCGCAGGAAAUUUGAGGAGAGCUGUCCUUAGUACGAGAGGACCGGGAUGGACGCACCGCUGGUGUACCAGUUGUUCCGCCAGGAGCAUCGCUGGGUAGCUACGUGCGGACGGGAUAAAUGCUGAAAGCAUCUAAGCAUGAAGCCCCCUCCAAGAUGAGAUUUCCCUUUGAGUAAUCAAGAAAGACCCCUCAGAGACGAUGAGGUAGAUAGGUCACGGGUGGAAGCAUGGCGACAUGUGGAGCUGAGUGAUACUAAUCGGUCGAGGCCUUGUUCUA
RNAcentral lists this ribosomal RNA (1324 nucleotides) under Salmonella enterica subsp. enterica serovar Enteritidis str. P125109. RNAcentral describes it as "partial 23S ribosomal RNA". It matches the Rfam family "Bacterial large subunit ribosomal RNA", at positions 1590 to 2925 of the family's 2925-position model. The record is from RNAcentral. Lineage: Bacteria; Pseudomonadati; Pseudomonadota; Gammaproteobacteria; Enterobacterales; Enterobacteriaceae.